UGUCUUUUACCUCCCUGAGAGAUGGGACCACAUGUCAACAAAACACUGAAGCCUCAUCUGAAGUCCCCCAGCCGCCUUGGUCAAGUAUUCAGAAUUCUGAGCCUCUGUAAAAGUUCAUUAUUGAAACUGUAGGGAGUUUACUAUGGAAAAGGCCGGAAAAAAAAUAGCUGUAGAUAUAUUUGUAUUUGGGUAAAAGUAUUCACACUAUGUGUUUGGUAUCUUGUUAUAUCGGGGCUGAAUCACAGUUAUUGUAAGAUGCUUUUUGCCCUUCCCUACAUAAUUUUUAUGAGCAAAAUUUUCCUUUACUUAAAAGGAAGUUUGUUUUGGUUUCUGAGAGUAGUCUUUAAAUACAGAAUGUAUAAUAUCCGGUGAGGGUGAUAGGCCUUCCUAAUCCAAGGAUAUGGAAGUUUAACAGUGUGACUUUGAGGCUAAUUUUACAAGCAUACAAGGCCUACAUGAUCACCCCAAUGUCUUCCUUGGGCACUGAAUUUCUAAUGGGCUUUCCUGGGCAGAACUAUUGGUGGAGAUGAGAGGAUGCUGGGUUUGCCGCUCACAGGAGGCAGAGCCCAGGGAGCUCGGGGCAUGGCAUUCCUAGGACGGGACCUGUGCUCUUUCUUUUGUUCCUCCCUGUGUCCUUUGGCUGUCAUAAUCCCUAGCCAAGAGUCCAGCUGUGAGCCUUCUGAGUGGAUCACCGAAACGUGUAGGUGGUCUUGGGGAUCCCCAAAGGCACCAUGCAGGUUUUGCCUCUGAAUCUCCCUGCUGUCCCCAACCUGAUGCCCUCUUACUCUCCUGAAUUAUUUUCUUGACAUUCUUCACCCCUUACAGGACCUUAGCUGACUGACAGUGGAUGGCCCUCCCCAGUGAGAUUGUAGUGCUGUGAAGGCUUUGUUCAUUGUGCUGCCUCUAGUGGCCGGCGCAGUGCCUGGCCUGUAGCAGGGCUCCAUAGGUAAUUAUUGAAGGAUGAUUGUGUGAAUGAGAGAGCUGGUAUUUAAAAUCAGCACUGAAGGAGGGCAGUGUAGAGUAUUACAGAAGAAGAAAGGAGGGAUCAGGAUAAUGAAGACAGUGGCUUAACUUUGGGAAGAGUUUUGUGCAAGUGUGAAUAGAAUCGAUUUUCCAGUGUAAGGGAAGCAGUUGGAAGACAGGACUGGAAAGAUUGUAUUUCAGGAUUUGCAACACUGAAUAGAUGGGAGGUUUGCGUGUGCACAAAACCUGGGGAGGGCAGGCAGCAGGUGUCCCAGGAGCUUGGAGCAGGCCCCACAGGCAACUGCCCAGGGAUCCAUGAUGUCUAGUAGCCAUUUGGGUUGGUGAGCAGCCCUACAGACUGCAGAGAGCUGUCCUCAGUGAGGCUGAGCAUGGUGGGGUCUGCAUUCCAGGGAUUCACAUUCAUCAGUCAGGUCAUCUCCACCUGGAGGGAGUCAGACCACCUAUUGUGGAUGGCUCUCAGGGCCUGCAAACUGGUUCAGGGACAACGAGUUCACUGUCACUAAUGUUACAAUUCUGUUUUGGUGCAAAGUGAAAGACUGCAGUGCUGGGGACUACUGCUUGAUCAACUUCUGUUAGCUGACAUUGUGAAGUAGUUUACCUAUGCUCUUUUAUUUCAUUCUUAACCAGUCGUUCAACCUUGCCAUUCUGGGAAAGUUGAAAGCUAUAAAUUCCAAUGGCUUUAGGUUGCAGGGCUUGACCUGAAACACAAGUGCAUCUGAUCUCAGAGCCCUUGUUCUUUUCACUGCCUCAGAUUGGGACCUACAAUGACAGUUCAGUCUUAGGAACAGAAGUCUAUGAUGGAAGAUGUCACGAAAAUGGGGCAUCACCUAUGCCGUGAAAGUUGUGGGAAAGGAAACUAGGGAUGGUAAAUCAGGUGGUUGGAAUUGCAGUCUGGCUCAGGAAAAGAGGGAGAGUGAUACUCUACAACGUCUGGCUGAGGGGCACAUGGUAGCAGACAGCGGUAAUUUCUUUUGCUGUGCAGAAGCUCUUUAGUUUAAUUAGAUCCCAUUUGUCAAUUUUGGCUUUUGUUGCCAUUGCUUUUGGUGUUUUAGACAUAAGUUUUUGCCCAUGCCUAUGUCCUGAAUGGUACUGCCUAUGUUUUCUUCUAGGAUUUUUAUGGUUUUAGGUCUUACUCUUAAGUCUUUAAUUCAUCUUGAGUUAAUUUUUGUAUAAUGUGUAAGGAAGGGGUCCAGUUUUAGUUUUCUGCAUAUGGCUAGCCAGUUUUCCAAACACCAUUUAUUAAAUAGGGAACCUUUUCCCCAUUGCUUGUUUUUGUCAGGUUUGUCAAAGAUCAGAUGGUUGUAGAUGUGUGGUGUUAUUUCUGAGGCCUCUGUUCUGUUCCAUUGGUCUAUA
This 2337-nucleotide long non-coding RNA is filed under the name Homo sapiens (human). RNAcentral's name for it is "non-protein coding lnc-CNDP1-8:1". The record is from RNAcentral. Lineage: Eukaryota; Metazoa; Chordata; Mammalia; Primates; Hominidae.